This 661-nucleotide ribosomal RNA is filed under the name uncultured cyanobacterium. RNAcentral's name for it is "bacterial SSU rRNA". It matches the Rfam family "Bacterial small subunit ribosomal RNA", at positions 99 to 795 of the family's 1533-position model. The record is from RNAcentral. Lineage: Bacteria; Bacillati; Cyanobacteriota.
CGGACGGGUGAGUAACGCGUGAGGAUCUGCCCAUAGGACGGGGAUAACAGUUGGAAACGACUGCUAAUACCGGAUGAGCCGAGAGGUAAAACAUUUAUGGCCUAUGGAGGAACUCGCGGCUGAUUAGCUAGUUGGUGGGGUAAAGGCCUACCAAGGCGACGAUCAGUAGCUGGUCUGAGAGGAUGAUCAGCCACACUGGGACUGAGACACGGCCCAGACUCCUACGGGAGGCAGCAGUGGGGAAUUUUCCGCAAUGGGGGCAACCCUGACGGAGCAACGCCGCGUGAGGGAAGAAUGUUUGUGGACAGUAAACCUCUUUUAAUAGGGAAGAAUUUUGACGGUACCUAUUGAAUAAGCAUCGGCUAACUCCGUGCCAGCAGCCGCGGUAAUACGGAGGAUGCAAGCGUUAUCCGGAAUUAUUGGGCGUAAAGCGUCCGCAGGUGGUUAGUCAAGUCAGCUGUUAAAUACUCAGGCUUAACUUGGGGAUUGCGGUUGAAACUGAUUGACUAGAGUACGGUAGGGGUAGAGGGAAUUCCUAGUGUAGCGGUGAAAUGCGUAGAUAUUAGGAAGAACACCAGUGGCGAAGGCGCUCUACUGGGCCUGUACUGACACUGAGGGACGAAAGCUAGGGGAGCGAAUGGGAUUAGAUACCCCUGUAGUC